GUAGGUGGCAAGCGUCGUCCGGAAUUAUUGGGCGUAAAGCGCGCGCAGGCGGUUCUUUAAGUCUGAUGUGAAAGCCCACGGGCUCAACCGUGGAGGGUCAUUGGAAACUGGAGAACUUGAGUACAGAAGAGGAAAGCGGAAUUCCACGUGUAGCGGUGAAAUGCGUAGAGAUGUGGAGGAACACCAGUGGCGAAGGCGGCUUUCUGGUCUGUAACUGACGCUGAGGCGCGAAAGCGUGGGGAGCAAACAGGAUUAGAUACCCUGGUAGUCCACGCCGUAAACGAUGAGUGCUAAGUGUUAGGGGGUUUCCGCCCCUUAGUGCUGCGGCUAACGCAUUAAGCACUCCGCCUGGGGAGUACGGCCGCAAAGGCUG
This 373-nucleotide ribosomal RNA is filed under the name uncultured organism. RNAcentral describes it as "partial 16S ribosomal RNA". It matches the Rfam family "Bacterial small subunit ribosomal RNA", at positions 527 to 896 of the family's 1533-position model. The record is from RNAcentral.